Non-coding RNA from Phrynosoma platyrhinos (Desert horned lizard), 72 nucleotides. The record is from the annotation of a GenBank genome assembly. Lineage: Eukaryota; Metazoa; Chordata; Lepidosauria; Squamata; Phrynosomatidae.
GCCAGUGUGGUGUAGUGGUUUGAGCGUUGGAUUGGGACUCUGGCGACCAGGGUUCGAUUCGCUGCUUCAGCC